This 497-nucleotide ribosomal RNA is filed under the name uncultured bacterium. RNAcentral's name for it is "partial 16S ribosomal RNA". It matches the Rfam family "Bacterial small subunit ribosomal RNA", at positions 28 to 507 of the family's 1533-position model. The record is from RNAcentral.
GAUGAACGCUGGCGGCGUGCCUAAUACAUGCAAGUCGAGCGAACGGACGAGAAGCUUGCUUUUCUGAUGUUAGCGGCGGACGGGUGAGUAACACGUGGAUAACCUACCUAUAAGACUGGGAUAACUUCGGGAAACCGGAGCUAAUACCGGAUAAUUUUUUGAACCGCAUGGUUCAAAAGUGAAAGACGGUCUUGCUGUCACUUAUAGAUGGAUCCGCGCUGCAUUAGCUAGUUGGUAAGGUAACGGCUUACCAAGGCAACGAUGCAUAGCCGACCUGAGAGGGUGAUCGGCCACACUGGAACUGAGACACGGUCCAGACUCCUACGGGAGGCAGCAGUAGGGAAUCUUCCGCAAUGGGCGAAAGCCUGACGGAGCAACGCCGCGUGAGUGAUGAAGGUCUUCGGGUUGUAAAACUCUGUUAUUAGGGAAGAACAUAUGUGUAAGUAACUGUGCACAUCUUGACGGUACCUAAUCAGAAAGCCACGGCUAACUACGUG